CGGGACGGGUGAGUAACGCGUGGGUAACCUGCCUCAUACAGGGGGAUAACAGUUAGAAAUGGCUGCUAAUACCGCAUAAGACCACAGUACUGCAUGGUACAGUGGUAAAAACUCCGGUGGUAUGAGAUGGACCCGCGUCUGAUUAGGUAGUUGGUGAGGUAACGGCUCACCAAGCCGACGAUCAGUAGCCGACCUGAGAGGGUGACCGGCCACAUUGGGACUGAGACACGGCCCAG
RNAcentral lists this ribosomal RNA (236 nucleotides) under uncultured bacterium. RNAcentral's name for it is "partial 16S ribosomal RNA". It matches the Rfam family "Bacterial small subunit ribosomal RNA", at positions 100 to 334 of the family's 1533-position model. The record is from RNAcentral.